GACGAACGCUGGCGGCGUGCUUAACACAUGCAAGUCGAACGGGAGUACUUUGAAAGCUUGCUGAUAAGUACUUUAGUGGCGGACGGGUGAGUAACGCGUGAGGAGCUGUCUUAUGCAGGGGGACAACAGUUGGAAACGGCUGCUAAUACCCCAUAAGCCGAGAGGUAAAAGGAGCAAUCCGGCAGAGGAGGUACUCGCGUCCUAUCAGCUAGUAGGUUGGGUAACGGCCGACCUAGGCGAAGACGGGUAGCCGGCCUGAGAGGGCGAACGGCCACACUGGAACUGAGAUACGGUCCAGACUCCUACGGGAGGCAGCAGUGGGGAAUAUUGGGCAAUGGGGGGAACCCUGACCCAGCGACGCCGCGUGGGUGAAGAAAUCCUUCGGGAUGUAAAGCCCUGUUGUAUGGGAAGAGCAGAAGACGGUACCAUACGAGGAAGCCCCCGGCAAACUACGUG
This 456-nucleotide ribosomal RNA is filed under the name uncultured bacterium. Its description in RNAcentral is "bacterial SSU rRNA". It matches the Rfam family "Bacterial small subunit ribosomal RNA", at positions 28 to 507 of the family's 1533-position model. The record is from RNAcentral.